RNAcentral lists this ribosomal RNA (1271 nucleotides) under Enterococcus faecium. RNAcentral's name for it is "bacterial SSU rRNA". It matches the Rfam family "Bacterial small subunit ribosomal RNA", at positions 184 to 1442 of the family's 1533-position model. Lineage: Bacteria; Bacillati; Bacillota; Bacilli; Lactobacillales; Enterococcaceae. The record is from RNAcentral.
AACCGCAUGGUUUUGAUUUGAAAGGCGCUUUCGGGUGUCGCUGAUGGAUGGACCCGCGGUGCAUUAGCUAGUUGGUGAGGUAACGGCUCACCAAGGCCACGAUGCAUAGCCGACCUGAGAGGGUGAUCGGCCACAUUGGGACUGAGACACGGCCCAAACUCAUACGGGAGGCAGCAGUAGGGAAUCUUCGGCAAUGGACGAAAGUCUGACCGAGCAACGCCGCGUGAGUGAAGAAGGUUUUCGGAUCGUAAAACUCUGUUGUUAGAGAAGAACAAGGAUGAGAGUAACUGUUCAUCCCUUGACGGUAUCUAACCAGAAAGCCACGGCUAACUACGUGCCAGCAGCCGCGGUAAUACGUAGGUGGCAAGCGUUGUCCGGAUUUAUUGGGCGUAAAGCGAGCGCAGGCGGUUUCUUAAGUCUGAUGUGAAAGCCCCCGGCUCAACCGGGGAGGGUCAUUGGAAACUGGGAGACUUGAGUGCAGAAGAGGAGAGUGGAAUUCCAUGUGUAGCGGUGAAAUGCGUAGAUAUAUGGAGGAACACCAGUGGCGAAGGCGGCUCUCUGGUCUGUAACUGACGCUGAGGCUCGAAAGCGUGGGGAGCAAACAGGAUUAGAUACCCUGGUAGUCCACGCCGUAAACGAUGAGUGCUAAGUGUUGGAGGGUUUCCGCCCUUCAGUGCUGCAGCUAACGCAUUAAGCACUCCGCCUGGGGAGUACGACCGCAAGGUUGAAACUCAAAGGAAUUGACGGGGGCCCGCACAAGCGGUGGAGCAUGUGGUUUAAUUCGAAGCAACGCGAAGAACCUUACCAGGUCUUGACAUCCUUUGACCACUCUAGAGAUAGAGCUUCCCCUUCGGGGGCAAAGUGACAGGUGGUGCAUGGUUGUCGUCAGCUCGUGUCGUGAGAUGUUGGGUUAAGUCCCGCAACGAGCGCAACCCUUAUUGUUAGUUGCCAUCAUUCAGUUGGGCACUCUAGCAAGACUGCCGGUGACAAACCGGAGGAAGGUGGGGAUGACGUCAAAUCAUCAUGCCCCUUAUGACCUGGGCUACACACGUGCUACAAUGGGAAGUACAACGAGUUGCGAAGUCGCGAGGCUAAGCUAAUCUCUUAAAGCUUCUCUCAGUUCGGAUUGCAGGCUGCAACUCGCCUGCAUGAAGCCGGAAUCGCUAGUAAUCGCGGAUCAGCACGCCGCGGUGAAUACGUUCCCGGGCCUUGUACACACCGCCCGUCACACCACGAGAGUUUGUAACACCCGAAGUCGGUGAGGUAACCUU